Molecule: ribosomal RNA, 517 nt
Filed under: Pelopidas mathias (small branded swift)
Lineage: Eukaryota; Metazoa; Arthropoda; Insecta; Lepidoptera; Hesperiidae
Description: partial 16S ribosomal RNA
Rfam family: Archaeal large subunit ribosomal RNA (bases 385-517)
Source: RNAcentral
UUUUUGAUGAUAAUUUAAAGUCGAAUCUGCCCACUGAUUAAUAAUUAAAGGGCUGCAGUAUAUUGACUGUACAAAGGUAGCAUAAUAAUUAGUCUUUUAAUUGAAGACUUGUAUGAAAGAUUUGAUGAGAUAUAAACUGUCUCUUUUUUAAAAUUAAAAUUUAAUUUUUUAGUAAAAAAGCUAAAAUAAAUUUAAAAGACGAGAAGACCCUAUAGAGUUUUAUAAUUGAAUUAUUUAAAAAUUUAUUUUUAAUUUAAAAAAUAAUUAGUUUAAUUAUUUUAUUGGGGUGAUAAAAAAAUUAAAAUAACUUUUUUUUUUAUUUUAAACAUUAAUUAAUGAAUAAUUGAUCCAUAAUUUAUGAUUAUAAGAAAAAAUUACCUUAGGGAUAACAGCGUAAUUUUUUUUUUUAGUUCUUAUAAGAAAAAAAGUUUGCGACCUCGAUGUUGGAUUAAGAUAAAAUUUAAAUGCAGAAGUUUAAAGUUUUGAUCUGUUCNAUCAUUAAAAUCUUACAUGAUCU